GGAAAUAUUAGUCAGCUGACAGUAAUUACAGAAGCGUUUUAAGUUCUUUAUCUCUUCUACUGUAACAUCUGGUCCAAAGAGGGUCAGUUUUAUAGUAGAUAAAUAAAAAAAUCUAUAAAAUUAUAGUGGACCUUUACCUGAAGCAUAUCCAUCCCCAGUUCCCACUCCAGCUGGGAGAGACUCUGAGUCUUUGAUAGAAGGAGAGCUUGAUCUAGAAGAGUCUAAAAAUAGAAGGUAGUUAAAAGUUCAUGGCAUCAAUUUCUCCCAAACAUCUAUCAUUUGAACCCAAAACACUGAUACCUUUAUCUAAAAUAUAUACAUCUCCAGUUCCCUCUCCAGAACAUCCUGCUGGGAGAGACUCUGAGUCUUUGUUAGUGGGAGAGCUCGACCUAGAAAAGUCUGAAGCGUAUACGUCUCCAGAACAUCCUGCUGGGAGAGACUCAGAGUCUUUGUUAGUGGGAGAGCUCGACCUAGAACAGUCUAAAAACAGAAGAUAGAAAAGAUAAAGUUUGGAUUAAAGAAGCUCCCAUGAGCAACACAGGCUCUGUA
RNAcentral lists this long non-coding RNA (549 nucleotides) under Astyanax mexicanus (Mexican tetra). RNAcentral's name for it is "lncRNA (ENSAMXG00005024756.1)". The record is from RNAcentral. Lineage: Eukaryota; Metazoa; Chordata; Actinopteri; Characiformes; Acestrorhamphidae.